This is a long non-coding RNA of Varroa destructor (honeybee mite), 2161 nucleotides long. Lineage: Eukaryota; Metazoa; Arthropoda; Arachnida; Mesostigmata; Varroidae. The record is from RefSeq and is a predicted model, not a curated record.
UUUGCCGUGCAGUGAUAAUUUCGUUGAAAUCACAUGAUAUAUUCUUCCAGCGAAUACCACUAUUAUGUGAAUGUAUGCUUUAGAGAUAUCUUAUGAGAAAUACUGUAUUUAACCUGAGUAGAUUCAACUGAUUUUCAAGAAUCUAAAUAGGAUAUGCACGAUAUCGAAACGACAAUUCUAGACCCAAUAUCAACCACAACCGGUCGCCAGAGCAACCGAUCGAGUCAGAGUUCAAGUGUCACCAUCCAUGCUUGUUUGAUGGUUAUUGUCGAACUAAAGCUAGCCUGUGUUGACGUGAAUUAUAUGACUUGAACGUGUUAUGUUGCCCCAGACAUCUCAGAGGAUAUGACAUCUUCCGCCAUUCCUUUGCCGCUUGCCGGUAUUUCCUGUGUCAAGAAGAUUCGGAUUAUCACUUGUGGGGUGGAGACGCGCGUGCUCGUAUAUGGAAAGCGUGUAUGAAUUGUUUAUCUACCACGGCCUAUCUCCACAAUCUAUUGGCCGAUUAGGUGGAACUUGAGCUGAGAUCGCUACUCCGCAGCAAAAAUAAUAGAAAUCAAAACUAGCUAAGCCCACUUUCCGGAGCAACUAUCCAUAAUCAUUCCCGACGUCGAGGCAUAUCCAGAAUGAAUCGCAGCAUCUACAGUGACGUUUCUGUGCCGUAGCAGAUCAUAGACUUGGUUCGAUAAAGAGACCCAGAAACGGAGCUUGUCGAAGAAGGGAUAUUUGAAGUUUCUUUUCAAAUGUCUAAAAUCAAGUGGUCUAGUAAUUGGUGCGACUCGUCCAAGCGCCUCGAAUUCCGGCCAUGUACAGUCCUUGUCAAAAUCCGCUAAGUAUAGAAAACUUUUGUUUGAUCUGCUAUCCGUCGAAGAAGUAAACAGAUCGCUUAAGGACGGAUACUAUUCGUUUUAGAAGACCACUGAUUGAUUGUCUACCUUGUUGACAAAACGGAGCAGUCACGGUGACGUCAAGGCGUGACGCUCAAGGCCUCGCUACAGACCGUAGACUUGAAAGCCGGAAAGCUAGUCUGAAGGCAGGGAGAAACCAUUAACCAUUGAUAAGUACGUUAAGCGCUACGAUUAAGUGUCCACAGACAAAUCGCCGACGCCAUAUGAGAGCCGUUCAUACGAAUGAGACGCGCACCUAAAUGAGAAGAUGCGAAAGCGAUGUUUCCUGCCCUCGCAUGGAAUAGCUCUCCCUUCGCGAAUAGAUCUUCGCGAACAGCUUAUUUAGCCAUUAUAAUCGCCCAGUCAGCUCCGUAGUCGGUAACCGUGUCGGCCUGUGUACCCACAAUCAAUAGGCGUUUUGUGUGGUAGUCGUUUGGAGAAGACGAACACUGACUAAUUACAAGAUUCUAAAAUGAAACCUGUUGUGAAUGAAUGAAGUCAGUUAUCACCCGAUAAGUAACUACCUGCUCGCAAAGGUUAUGCGGCGAAGGCAAGAUUAUGCCUACCUAUAUCUAUGUGUGUCUUUGUUUUUCGGGGAAUCUGUUCCAAGCGCUAAGCCGUACUGCUUAGUUUUGAACGCGAGUUAAGAGAGCGAUAACGGAGCAAGGCUGAGGUACGCACAGAACGAACUCGAGGUAGGGACCGCGCCACUGCUGCACUUAUCACAAUAGCCACUGACGUUAAUUACCGAUUUACUUCACACCUCGUCACCUCGUGCCGUUUGCAAUGGUUAGAAAGAUAAAGACGCUUCGAGGCAGACAGAGACGGCCGAGUAGCGUAGAGCUGUUAUCUGCAAUGAAAACUUGAUGAACAACAUUUACGUAUUCACUGAGAAACGAAUGACAGCUAAAAAGCAACAUGAAUUAGGGUGAAGUGCUGUGGGUACCGGUAUAGGUAAUAGAUAGAGCAGCGCGAACUUGAAGCGGAGAAUUUGUUUGAACCUGUUUGAGUUGUCAUUUACUAAUGAGCUCGAGUAAGUGGAGCUGAUGAAAGUUACUGGCUGAUGGACGAUGUCGAGCAUUAAACGAGACUGGACAAUCGCUCACUAGAUUCGCUAAGGACCCUACAGCCCUGAUCGAUCUACCUUCGCAUUCAAAAUGACUGGUUUCUACUAUACAACGGAAGUCUUAUGGAGAUUUAUAAUAUUUGUUGUAGAUGUCUGCUACAUGCUAAUUAUGUGGUGCUACAGAUGCUUAGAAUGAAUAAAAUUGUGUUGA